CUUUGUGCACUGUAACAUAUUUAUUGUCAAGAGUGCAUUGGUUUAUAUAUUUACAAACAAGAAACAAAAAUGUAUAGAGCUAAUGGGAAUGCCAUCAAUUAUUCUAUAAGUUUUAUUGAACUCAAUUAUCACCCCCCCCCUCUACAUUACAAAAUGUGUAAAAGUCAAGUACUCCUUACUGAAUAAUAUUCAAUAAAUCAAAACAUGUGCUUGCUAGGUAGCAGUUAUAUCUCUUACAAAACGUGUAGGAAAAAAAAUGUUUACAUUAAAACAAAAAAUGAUGGAAAUAAAAUACUGAUCCACCUGAUCAUCUUACUGAUGAAACCAAACUUCAAGUCUGCUGAGUUCCACUGAAUGAAGAAGUUGCUGUUGUAUUUACACAUGAAGUUGAGUACACUUCUAGGGAAGACAGCUGCAUGUUAUACUUGAAUGAGAUUCACAAUGAAACAGUGAAGAAGAAACUGUUUCUACUUCAAGAACACAAUGUAGUUAUUUAGAGCCGCUGGCAACUCAGACAAACUGGACUACAUACACAAUGGGUUAUUGUUACCUGAGUUUUGAACUGGAAGAAAGUUGAAUACAGAUAUCUGCUUACAUUUAUGUAGAGCUGUAUGCUCAUCCAAACAUUACCUGAACUUUAAUUUAAAAAAAAAAUAGAAUAACUAACAAAACAAUGUUUAAUUACCCAUCCUCAGCAAUGGAUUCAUUUGUAUUAGAUAUGGCUAAAUAUGUAGGCUAACGCUGGGGUUUUCUUAAUUUUGAAGCUUUACAAGUUCCAAGUUAAAAAAAAACGCCAACUUGGCACACUUUGUUUUUCCAUGUUCACUGCAGAUCAAAUAAACUGGAAUGUAGGAGAGUGCUGCAACCUGGCCAGGCACAUCUUUUAGACAAAAUGAAAGAAAUCAGAGAAUUGUUACAUCUCUUUUCAUUGUAAUUAUUAGGCUUAUUAUACAAUAAUGAAAAUUUAAGGCUUGGAUAUAACUAGAUUAAAGAAAAAAAAAAAAAAAGCUCUAACUUUCAGCCCAUUUCAAAUUAAGUUUUAUAUCUCACUGCCCCCUAUACAUUUAGUUCUACUGAAUACAUCUAUUGAGUAUGCUACUAAUUGUUCAUUCACAGUAACAAAAUACUACAUAUGUCUGUAAACCAGUACAUGAUUUUAAAAAAAUGACAUAUAUAUAUAUAAAACCAUAAAUAAUUGUGGUAUUUCAAAAAAGGUUUCCAUGACAAAAUACUGAAGCUUAUGUUCUGAUUGACUGUGAACAAUGUAAUAAUAAAAAAAAGCCUAACAAUAACAAGGCAAGGCAUGAGCAAUGUACUGCUACAAUCAUUGAACACAUUUUGACAUGGAAACCGUUACAAGUACAUUCUAGAAAAAUAUAGUUUCAAAAUUGGUUAAAUGUAACUGUUCUCGUAGGUCUUUGACUAAGCAUAGAAACAGAAUACUUGUUUUAAAUAUAAUAUCUGAAAUUAUUGCUGCACCAAUAAUAUGUGAAAGUUGCAGUCCAGUAACAUCGACAAGAAUAUAAACAGGUCAGAAAACCAAUUGAAAAGUAACAAUAUCAAAGCAAUUGGAUAACACUCACAAAAUACCAGAAAAAAAAAGUAUAAUAAAAGGAUUUUAGAACGACUAAAAGUUUUUAAACAAACUAUGGUUCAAUACUUUUGAUCCUUGGUAAUAGCAUUUCAGACUUUUCUCAUUAACUUUUAGUAAGCUAAUAUGUCAUUACAGUCCAUAAAGAACUACUUUGUCAUUUCAUUUCCACUUGGACCAAUAUAUUAUUUUCUUUGUUAAGUCUGGACUUGCUUGUCUUCACAUGUAAGAAUGACUUAAAUGUUCAAGUUUAUGUGUAUGCUCUAAAUAAUUUCCUUAGCCCCAAAUAAGCCAACCAUGGUCAGAGGAGUUAGAGUUUUUGGCACAUCGGCACAAUUAAGGUCAGAGGAAAAAGGUGAUCUAUGGCUCUUUAGUAUUUCAAAGUUAAGAUUCUAGAUUAUGGUAUUUCAUUUGUAUUUCUUGUGAUAAUCAUAUAGAUACAGCAUGUCACUAAACUUAGAUUUACAUUUGGAACAAAAUGUACAACCCACACAAAAUGUAUUCCAAGAAAACAAGAUGGUCAAACACAAGUAUACAUAGAGGUGUGUAUAAUGGGCAAUACAAGAUUGAAUAUGAACUUUACAUUGUAUGUCAUUCAAGAAUGUUCAAAAUAUAUAUAGGUACUGGCAUGAAUGAACACACCCAUGUUAUAAAUACAAAGUACAUGACAAGAGAUCCAAAUGUGACAAAUAGGAAAGGAAAAAAAAUAAAUUCACCCCUUGAAAAAAAUAGGGUUCCUUAAUAUCAGGGCUCUACAUAGUCAAGACACGCCUACCACUUUAUCCUUUUUAUAUAUAUAUAUAUAUAUUAGCCCUGAUUACAAGUUUAAAGAAUGUUAAUUAACAUGCAAGGAUCUACUUAGACCAAUAACAAGAGUUAUGAGAGUUGGUAAGUAACUUAGUCCUUCAAGGUAUGACAAUCUAACAUAAGCAAGUUUGAUCUAUCUACAUUAAUUACAAGUUGGGUUCAUGUAGGCUUAAACAGUAUCAUAUAAAACCUUCAUUAAAAAAAACAACAACUUAAAUACCAGGAUACCAGUUUCAGGACAUAACAUCAACUGUUAUAACAACUUAGUUAUACAACUCCACUCUCUAGUCAAGCAUAACAUGGAAAAAAAAAACAAAUAUCCAAGCAAGAAGUGAAGUCAUUUAAAUUCAGAGCAGACACCAUUAGAGGUGAUCAGCCAAGCAUGAAAUGUAUGGUGGCACACAUCCACAUAUAAGUUGAAUACAUCUGUUGGCUUAGCUUCAUAAGAGCUUCAAACAAUCAUAGAAUGGGUUCUACACAAACUAUUUGAAGAGUUGACACUAUUUUAACUGUGACUUUAUUACAUAGACUUGAAGUUUUUAACUUUUAUCAGGUUCUAAAUAGAAAUGAAAUGGCCUAAAUCUAAAAGAAACUUUUCUGUAUAAAUUCAGCACAUUUUAAUUACCCACAUAAAUAUACAUUUUUUGUUUGCUAUUGAUAUAUGAAAAAUUAAAAACUAGCUAAGGCAACAUGGCUAAAAAGGAAAAGGUCCAAGAUCUCAGUAGAAUAACACUUCAGAAAAUUUCUUCUAAUAUACAUGAGACAAUUGUUCCCUUAUAUCUUAUAAAUAAGGAAUGAACCAAAUACAAUGUUUUUUUUAUAGAAUUAUUUACCUUUAACAUAUUUAUCAAAAGCAAUGUCAUGUGAUUGUCAAAAGGAUAGCAAAAUGUCUGCAAAUAUGUUCUCAAAAAACCAAAAAAAAACAAAUUAGUGGGCAAAUACAAUUACAGAGAAGCACAGCUGAAAGGACGAUGAAUUCAUAAGAUGCAGCUAAACAGAAUAAUUAGUUUGGUUUCAAAAGUAACUUGCAGACUUUAAAAAAAAUCACACUAAGGAAAUGCAUGAAAGAUUUCUCAAAAGUAACAAAUGAACCAAAAUAAAACAAGGUUGGGUAAAAAUAGAGCUGGGUUGUUUUGUUUUACUUAUGGCACAUCUAAAAAACACAUGAGUUCAGACUUUUGCUUUAUUUUUUUUGUCGAAAUAUUGCACAAUCAAAUGAUUUAUUAAUACAACUGAGCACAAAUAAAUGGAGGCCAUAAAAAAAGGAACAUUUUGUGAAAUAUGUCAUAUAUAUAUAUAUAUAUAUAUA
Non-coding RNA from Biomphalaria pfeifferi, 3707 nucleotides. NCBI's taxonomy places the organism in Eukaryota, Metazoa, Mollusca, Gastropoda, Planorbidae. The record is from the annotation of a GenBank genome assembly.